AUUUAUAUAGUUUAAAAAACAUUUUAUUUUCAUUAAAAAAAAAGAUUAAAAAAAUCUUAUAAAUU
RNAcentral lists this transfer RNA (65 nucleotides) under Eupteryx gracilirama. Its description in RNAcentral is "tRNA-Glu". Lineage: Eukaryota; Metazoa; Arthropoda; Insecta; Hemiptera; Cicadellidae. The record is from RNAcentral.